UAGGGAAUCUUCCACAAUGGACGAAAGUCUGAUGGAGCAACGCCGCGUGAGUGAAGAAGGGUUUCGGCUCGUAAAGCUCUGUUGUUAAAGAAGAACGUGGGUAAGAGUAACUGUUUACCCAGUGACGGUAUUUAACCAGAAAGCCACGGCUAACUACGUGCCG
Molecule: ribosomal RNA, 163 nt
Filed under: uncultured bacterium
Lineage: Bacteria
Description: partial 16S rRNA
Rfam family: Bacterial small subunit ribosomal RNA
Source: RNAcentral